AGUCUGAUGGGGCAACGCCGCGUGAGUGAAGAAGGGUUUCGGCUCGUAAAGCUCUGUUGGUAGUGAAGAAAGAUAGAGGUAGUAACUGGCCUUUAUUUGACGGUAAUUACUUAGAAAGUCACGGCUAACUACGUGCCAGCAGCCGCGGUAAUACGUAGGUGGCAAGCGUUGUCCGGAUUUAUUGGGCGUAAAGCGAGUGCAGGCGGUUCAAUAAGUCUGAUGUGAAAGCCUUCGGCUCAACCGGAGAAUUGCAUCAGAAACUGUUGAACUUGAGUGCAGAAGAGGAGAGUGGAACUCCAUGUGUAGCGGUGGAAUGCGUAGAUAUAUGGAAGAACACCAGUGGCGAAGGCGGCUCUCUGGUCUGCAACUGACGCUGAGGCUCGAAAGCAUGGGUAGCGAACAGGAUUAGAUACCCUGGUAGUCCAUGCCGUAAACGAUGAGUGCUAAGUGUUGGGAAGUUUCCGCCUCUCAGUGCUGCAGCUAACGCAUUAAGCACUCCGCCUGGGGGAGUACGACCGCAAGGUUGAAACUCAAAGGAAUUGACGGGGGGCCCGCACAAGCGGUGGAGACAUGUGG
This 576-nucleotide ribosomal RNA is filed under the name Lactobacillus gasseri. RNAcentral describes it as "bacterial SSU rRNA". It matches the Rfam family "Bacterial small subunit ribosomal RNA", at positions 380 to 944 of the family's 1533-position model. Lineage: Bacteria; Bacillati; Bacillota; Bacilli; Lactobacillales; Lactobacillaceae. The record is from RNAcentral.